GAUCAGUGAUGACAAAUCUAAGGCUUGUUUCUCAAAACAUUCGCAGUGGCCGCCCAAGAGCUUUCGCCUUCGCCAGGCUUGAGAGCUAGUGCUGUUUUAUCCUUCCUUGGAUGUCUGAGAUU
This 122-nucleotide small nucleolar RNA is filed under the name Trifolium pratense (red clover). RNAcentral's name for it is "snoRNA SNORD14". It matches the Rfam family "Small nucleolar RNA SNORD14". Rfam says of the family: U14 small nucleolar RNA (U14 snoRNA) is required for early cleavages of eukaryotic precursor rRNAs. Lineage: Eukaryota; Viridiplantae; Streptophyta; Magnoliopsida; Fabales; Fabaceae. The record is from RNAcentral.